RNAcentral lists this ribosomal RNA (435 nucleotides) under uncultured bacterium. Its description in RNAcentral is "partial 16S ribosomal RNA". It matches the Rfam family "Bacterial small subunit ribosomal RNA", at positions 28 to 507 of the family's 1533-position model. The record is from RNAcentral.
GAUGAACGCUGGCGGUAUGCUUAACACAUGCCAGUCGAACGGACUCUUCGGAGUUAGUGGCGGACGGGUGAGUAACGCGUGAGAAUCUGGCUUUGGGUUCGGGACAACCACUGGAAACGGUGGCUAAUACCGGAUGUGCCGAGAGGUAAAAGAGAAGUUGCCUGAAGAUGAGCUCGCGUCUGAUUAGCUAGUUGGUGAGGUAAAGGCUCACCAAGGCAGCGAUCAGUAGCUGGUCUGAGAGGAUGACCAGCCACACUGGGACUGAGACACGGCCCAGACUCCUACGGGAGGCAGCAGUGGGGAAUUUUCCGCAAUGGGCGAAAGCCUGACGGAGCAGUACCGCGUGAGGGAAGAAGGCUCUUGGGUUGUAAACCUCUUUUCUUAGGGAAGAACAAAAUGACGGUACCUAAGGAAUCAGCAUCGGCUAACUCCGUG